UACGUAGGGGGCUAGCGUUGUCCGGAUUUAUUGGGCGUAAAGAGCGUGUAGGCGGCCAGGUAGGUCUGGUGUGAAAACUCGAGGCUUAACCUCGAGAUGUCAUCGGAAACCAUCUGGCUAGAGUCCGGAAGAGGAGAGUGGAAUUCCUGGUGUAGCGGUGAAAUGCGCAGAUAUCAGGAAGAACACCAAUGGCGAAAGCAGCUCUCUGGGACGGUACUGACUCUGAGACGCGAAAGCGUGGGGAGCGAACAGG
This 253-nucleotide ribosomal RNA is filed under the name uncultured bacterium. RNAcentral describes it as "partial 16S ribosomal RNA". It matches the Rfam family "Bacterial small subunit ribosomal RNA", at positions 524 to 776 of the family's 1533-position model. The record is from RNAcentral.